Myxocyprinus asiaticus (Chinese sucker) is the source of this 1373-nucleotide long non-coding RNA. RefSeq lists it as uncharacterized. The transcript is spliced from 4 exons. NCBI's taxonomy places the organism in Eukaryota, Metazoa, Chordata, Actinopteri, Cypriniformes, Catostomidae. The record is from RefSeq and is a predicted model, not a curated record.
UAAAGACAUCCUGAAGUGGAAACCUGGAGGUAUAGAAGUGAUUCAGCAGUAUUAAGACACUGGUAAUCUGUCGACAUCCAAAAGGAAGGACAUGAUUAAUAUUUUAGUUGCACACAUGACUGAGCAAGAAGGAACGAUACCACUCAAAUCAAGGAUAGAUGCAUACCCUUGACAUUGUUGCACUAUUUCCAAAGUUGGCUGUGAGCAAAAUUAUGCACUAAGUGGAGUACCUCUUUCAAAGAGAAUUUGGUUAAGGCACUCUAACUCCAUCACCUUUCCUGUUGCAGCUACUAAAAUCUGCUGAAACACAUUAAAAUGAUAGCGAAGAUCAAGGUACUUAAUACUACUCAUGAAAGUGCUACAAAUGCCAUUUGUCACAUAUGUACGGUAAUAAUAUUUUUUUUUACGUGUCUUGUCAAUGAAGGAUGGGAUGGUGACAUAACCUCCCUUCUUCUUGUGUUGCACCUCUGUGCACUGCAACCCUCUGGAAAAAAGAGAGCUGCCAAGAUCAGUUUGAGAGAUGCUGUUGGUCGCCAGCUGAAGUUAGAAAAGCUACGUUUAUGAUCAAUUUCCCUCUUUGAAUAAUCUGUGUAUGAUACAAAAACUUGUGUAAAAAGGGAUUUACAUUUUGGUCUGUUCUCACCUAAAAUCGAUUAGAUUGCUUCUGAAGACAUGGAUUAAACCACUGGAGUCAUAUGGAUUACUUUUAUGCUGACUUUAUGUGCUUUUUGGAGCUCCAAAGUUUUGGUCACCUAAAACAUGCAUUGUAUGGACCUACAGAGCUGAAAUAUUCUUCUAAAAAUCUUCAUUUGUGUUCUGCAGAAGAAAGAAAGUCAUACACAUCUGGAAUGGCAUGAGGCUGCUGUGUGGUGAGCGUACUGGCGCACUAUGGCUGCCGUUGCAUCAUCCAGCUGGAUGCUGCACACUGGUGGUUGUUGAAGAGUUUCCCCCAUUCUAUGUAAAGUGCUUUGAGUGCCAAGAAAAGUGCUAGAUAAAUGUAAGGAAUUAUUAUUAUUAUAGAGCACGUACAGUAUACUUUUUGUAGAUUUCUAGUAAAAUUGUAUUGAAAUGUCGAUGUAUUCAGAUUAAUUGACAAAAUGCCCCAAAAGCUAUGGAUAGUGAACAAGGACCUAAGAAAUUUUUCUGCAUUUCAUAAACAGACAUCUUGUCAGACAGAGAUGCAUUUUCAGCACUUCACAUAGAUGUUUAGUUAAUGAUAUGAAGAAAGUUUUAAUGUGUAUUUAUUUUUAUUUUUAUUUUUUUUUACUGAGAAUAUUCUAACUGUGUUAUUCAUGUUUAAAGGAUGACACAUGUUGUAUUGUUUCAGCAUUAAACAUGAUUUUUAUUUUUUAUUUGAGGAUGUUAUUGGAUGA